UGGCUACAAAAUAACUUAUUUUGUAGCCACUUUGAGUUACGAUAAUUACUAUAUUAAUUUAUAAGAUUAUAGUAACUCCUUGCUAAGUGGUUUACUAUAACAUUACAUUACGGUAAAUAUCUCCAUGUGUUAUACUAAUCCAACUAUCGUAAAUGUGUAUACAUAUUAUUGUAAAUUAGUAUAUAAAAUUAUUGUAAAUGGAGGUGGCUGUAGAAUAACAUAUUUUGUAGCCA
Molecule: microRNA precursor, 233 nt
Filed under: Sorghum bicolor (sorghum)
Lineage: Eukaryota; Viridiplantae; Streptophyta; Magnoliopsida; Poales; Poaceae
Description: MIR6217 microRNA precursor family
Rfam family: MIR6217 microRNA precursor family
Source: Rfam by way of RNAcentral